UGACUCUUUCUUUCCGACUAAAAGAGCUUUACAACCCGAAGGCCUUCUUCACUCACGCGGCAUGGCUGGAUCAGGCUUUCGCCCAUUGUCCAAAAUUCCCCACUGCUGCCUCCCGUAGGAGUCUGGGCCGUGUCUCANUCCCAGUGUGGCUGGUCGUCCUCUCANACCAGCUACUGAUCGNCGCCUUGGUAAGCCUUUACCCCACCAACUANCUAAUCANACAUCAGCCGCUCCUUUAGCGCAAGGUCUCUUCGAUCCCCUGCUUUCCU
This 269-nucleotide ribosomal RNA is filed under the name uncultured Nitrosomonas sp. B3. RNAcentral describes it as "partial 16S ribosomal RNA". Lineage: Bacteria; Pseudomonadati; Pseudomonadota; Betaproteobacteria; Nitrosomonadales; Nitrosomonadaceae. The record is from RNAcentral.